CUUCUAUGAUAUGGUCUUGACAUUGAAAGAUAUACAAGUGAGAACAGACGAACAAAUAAUUAUGACUCGCUGACAGUCCACUUCACCUAAUCACCAUGAGGAGUAGAAGUAACUCAGGAAUACGUUUAGAUUAUUUCCAACGUCUUGUUAACCGAACCAUUUACGGUAUCAAAGUCCCUCCACUGGGCUGAUAUCAUCACGUGAAGACAGCCAACACAGCUGGGUUCGUGACAAUGUUUACAGCAUCAUGGCAGUCUGGGGCUUGGCAUUGGCCUAUCGUAAAACAGCAGAUCUUGAUGAAGACAGAGCCAAAGCUUAUGAGUUAGAAAAGGCAGUGGUGAUGCUCAUGCGGGGAUUGCUGCGCAGCAUGAUGAUGCAAGUGGAGAAGUUGGAGAAGUUCAAGGUCUCCCAGAACCCACGAGAUGCCUUGCAUGCCAAGUACUGUAGCCGAACAGGAAAAGCAGUGGUCGGCGACUAUGAGUGGGGGCAUUUGCAGAUUGAUGCCACAUCCCUAUACUUGUUGACACUGGCUCAGAUGACUGCUUCAGGCAUGGAGAUUAUAUUCACCUUGGAUGAGGUGGCCUUUGUUCAGAAUCUGGUGUUCUAUAUUGAGACAGCAUAUCGUACGCCUGACUAUGGCAUUUGGGAGAGGGGAGAUAAGACUAACCACGGCUUGCCAGAACUUAAUUCUAGCUCAAUAGGCAUGGCGAAGGCUGCUUUAGAGGCAGUAAAUGAAUUGGAUCUUUUCGGGGCUCGUGGUGGGCCAGCUUCCAUUAUUUAUGUUCUGCCUGACGAAGCUCAGCAAUGCCAGGCUAUCCUUACCUCUAUGCUGCCAAGAGAGUCAUCAUCCAAAGAAGUUGAUGCGAGUCUCAUAACAAUCAUCGGAUUUCCAGCAUUUGCAGUAGAUGACACAGAGAUUGUUGCAGAAACACGCAGGGUGAUAAAGGAGAAAUUGAGUGGAAGGUAUGGAUGCUGCCGGUUUCUGAGAGAUGGGUACAAAACUGCAAGAGAGGAUCCACGACGACUACACUAUGAACCUUGGGAGCUUCUCAUGUUUGAAAAAAUUGAAUGCCAGUGGCCUCUUUUCUUUGCCUACUAUAUCCUGGAUGGCCUCUUCCGCAAUGAUAUGAAGCAGGUAGAAGAAUAUAGACAACGACUUGAUGAAAUCAUGCUGAAGAGUGAAGAUGGCAUACCACUCCUGCCAGAACUGUAUGCAGUGCCACCGGAAUUGGUGGAGAAGGAAUUGGCCAAUCCCAACAGUCAAAAACGUGUUGCUCAAGGACAGCUUCCUCAUAUGUGGGGACAAUCCAUGUACAUCUUGGGUCGCCUUAUGUACGAGGGCUUUCUCUCACCUGGAGAAAUUGAUCCCCUUAAUCGCCGUCUGGUUAGUGAACCAAAGCCAGAUGUAGUGGUACAAGUUGUGAUUCUGGCAGAAACUCGCAAGAUAGCAGAAAAGCUGAUGCAGCAUGGUAUUGAAGUGCAGACCAUUCAAGAUACCAGCCCCAUUCAAGUCCACCCAGCCCGUGUCUUAUCUCAUAUCUUCUCACUUCUGGGGAAAAACAGACAGCUGGGUGUAACUGGCCGGCCAUCUACUGAAAUUGGUCUCCUGGCUACAAGCAAACUAUAUGUCCUUAACGACCAGAUUUUUGCUUUUAUACCAGAGUUUAUGAACCAGCAUCAGUUUUAUCUCCCUCUGGAUGUGGAUUUCCUGGUGGACCAUUUCAAAACAGACACAGACUUUCUGGCACGAAACUGGAGGAUGCUUGGAAGGCCUACAAUCAUCUUUCACCUGUCCAGGUCUAUGUUAGAUCAUUUGCACAACCCACCUGCGGCCCUUAUUGCAACCAUUAAGAAACUGCAGAGUGGCUACAUCAGUGGUGCUCGUGUUCACAUGGGAAAUCUUUCUGAGUUUCUUAACACUUCCUGCAUUUGCAAACUGACAUUUCUGCAUGACCCUAAUGACCCAUCACAGAAAGAAGAUCAAGUGAUGAAAAUCAUAGAAGAUAUCGCCAGUCCGUCCUGCCGCAGACCAUAUCUUCUGUCCACAUCUCGUCGAUCACGGAAAGCCAGCACUGUUUUGUCUGGAACAGCAGUCAGUGGAAUUGUGCGGCGCUCUCGUUCCAUUCAGAUUGAUCCUGACCAGUUACCAGACUUGUAUGCCCACCUGAACAGCUUGAGGCGGCAGUCUUUUGUCUCCCCAACAGCUAGUGGCACAGACAUUUUAACUGCAAUUCAUCUUCGAAAAAAGUCCACGGCAAAAAAUAUAGAAUGUCCGCAAGCAUCACCUUAUGGAGGACAGUCUGUGAUAGAAGAAGAAACUUUGUCACGGCACCCUUCAUUAACAACUGGCAUAGCACCUGCUCAUAGGACAAAACGGGCCUCUCUUCCAGCCGUGAUGCCAUCACAUGAUAUCUACGGCUUUAGCAGAGUAGCAGAGACAAUAGACGAGGCGGAAGAAGAGCCCACAGUUACAUCACAGAUUUUGAAACCAGUCCAAAAUACUAAGGAAAUCACAUCCUACACCCAGCAGUUCUUACAUCUAAAAGAUGCCAGCAGUGGGCACUAUGACCUGCCACACACACCAAGUGGCUCACCCACCUCCUCACCUGGUCCACGGCACAGACAGUUAAAAGGGGAUAUCUCAGAUGUGGAUCUGAGUGACCUCACAGACCAGCUGCAGAAGUCCGAGACUCUGCAGGAACAGGCUGACAUCAUCCACUAUCUCUACACUGCUAAGGGUCUCGACUGGGAUACACACAUGGAUCUGAAGAAAAAGUGCACUGUCAAAGACCUGCUGACUGAACUGUAUGAAAAGGCAAGCCACUGGAAACAGUGGUGGCUGGUAAGACAUACAGCAGGCAUGUUGGAGAAACGGGUCGAAGAACUUGCCAUCGCUGCUACAGACUUACUGGUGCGGCAAAAACAGUUGUCAGUGGGCAUGCCAAAUGAUGGGGAACGCAUCAUCACAUGCCCUCUCCCGCCUGACGAACUUUUCAGCAUAAUCAACGAAGCUUGUGGUGAAGACAAGAGCUCUGUAUCUCUGACUCAGGAACUUCUGAUCUACUUGGCCAUGUUCAUCCGAACAGAACCCAAACUGUUCCAUGAGAUGCUGCGACUCAGGGUAGGCCUAAUCAUUCAGGUCAUGGCUUCAGAAAUGGCACGCACUCUGAAAUGUACAGGUGAUGAGGCUUCAGACCAUCUAUUAAAUCUGAGUCCUUUUGAGAUGAAAACGUUGCUGCAUCACAUCCUCAGCGGAAAGGAGUUUGUCAUCAACACCUGUGGUAAGCCAGAAAGACCUUCCACUCAUCAGCGUUGCCUCCUCAACAGAGGAGUCAGAUGAGAGCAGCCAUGACCGCCAGGGUCAGUGGCUUCGUCGUCGCCGCCUGGAUGGAGCCCUGAACAGAGUGCCAGUGGGCUUCUACCCUCGCAUCUGGGAGGUUCUUCGCAGGUGCCCUGGAAUCAGGAUCGAUGAUACUCUUCUGCCUUCAAGCUUGACUCAGGAG
Molecule: unclassified non-coding RNA, 3503 nt
Filed under: Pomacea canaliculata
Lineage: Eukaryota; Metazoa; Mollusca; Gastropoda; Architaenioglossa; Ampullariidae
Description: probable phosphorylase b kinase regulatory subunit alpha, transcript variant X11
Source: RNAcentral